GAUGAACGCUAGCGACAGGCUUAACACAUGCAAGUCGAGGGGCAGCACAGGUAGCACUACCGGGUGGCGACCGGCGCACGGGUGAGUAACGCGUAUGCAACUUACCUAUCAGAGGGGGAUAACCCGGCGAAAGUCGGACUACUACCGCAUGACGCAGGAGUCCCGCAUGGGGAUAUUUGCUAAAGAUUCCUCGCUGAUAGGUAGGCAUGCGUUCCAUUAGGCAGUUGGCGGGGUAACGGCCCACCAAACCGACGAUGGAUAGGGGUGAUGAGAGGAAGGUCCCCCACAUUGGUACUGAGACACGGACCAAACUCCUACGGGAGGCAGCAGUGAGGAAUAUUAGUCAAUGGCCGAGAGGCUGAACCAGCCAAGUCGCGUGAGAGAUGAAUGUUCUAGGGAUCGUAAACCUCUGUGAUAAGGGAAUAAAGUGCGGGACGUGUCCCGUUUUGUAUGUACCUUAUGAAUAAGGAUCGGCUAACUCCGUG
This 485-nucleotide ribosomal RNA is filed under the name uncultured bacterium. RNAcentral's name for it is "partial 16S ribosomal RNA". It matches the Rfam family "Bacterial small subunit ribosomal RNA", at positions 28 to 507 of the family's 1533-position model. The record is from RNAcentral.